Bos taurus (domestic cattle) is the source of this 867-nucleotide long non-coding RNA. The record is from Ensembl. Lineage: Eukaryota; Metazoa; Chordata; Mammalia; Artiodactyla; Bovidae.
GAAAGCGGAGCGCUGGGAACUCAGUCUCGCGCCUCCCGAAGCCGAGCGGAGUUUUGACCCACCCAGACCCCACCCUUCGGUUGCAUCCAUCACACAGUCAUUACAAAGGGGCAGCGCUGUCACACUGCCUGCCCUGCUCCCGGGGCUCUCGGGCUGGCUUAAUGAAGUGCACCCAGCCGGGGCUAUUGUGCAGCGCGAAUGAGGCAAGGACGAGACGGCAACGAUCCUAGCAGCUGCUCUCUGCAGCCCCGCAGCAGUGGCCAAGCCCAGACCUCAAGUGGAUGGAUGCCUCUGGAAGUGUCUUCCUGAACGAACCCAUCAGGCAGUAGAAGACUGUGGCGGGGCUAGUGAACUUAGAUGAGGCGUUCGUCUCCUGCAGUUGAGCCGGCCGGAGAGACACUUUAGUCCUGCCUUCCCAGUUCUGCGCCCUGCACAAGCAGUUUUGAAAAAUUAAGUGCAAAAAGCAUGACAAAGCAAUAUGAGGUUGCCGUGUUGCCUUUUAACUUGUCAAGGGCAGGCCAUGGAGAUGACUGGGCCCCCCAAUAUUGGAAUGGACUUGCACAUUCUCUGAUGAGGCAAGGGCAUCCAAGUUUUCUCAUUUGAAGGAUGGGAUGGAAGCAAAAGUACUCCCUUGAAAGUAAUUGUUCUCAUGUUUUGUUGAAACCACUUCUAACUUUGAUUUAUAUGUGUGUAAAUAUAUAAUCGUAUGUGCUUACAUUUCUCUCAAGAUGUAUUCUGAAAUAAAGUUUUUUAAAGUUGUUACAAAUGUCCUCUGAUCAUGAGAAACACAUAUAGUAACUUUUAAAACUAAUUAUUUUGCAAUAAAGAUUAAUGUAUUUUAUUAGACUUACACUUUAAUAACUUAUU